GUAAACCCUGAUUGUUGAUUCAACUCACAGAGAUUGAGUUCAUAUGACUUAAAUGCAUUAAAACUAUGGCAUUACUUAUUAUUUCUGAUUCAAAUUAACUUUUUUGUGUCCUUUCUGAUUGUACUCAUGUUUUUAAGUCAAAUCAAUAACAAAUUUAUUGUCUGUGCUCAAAUUACUUAAUAUCAUCAAGUUUUGCCUGUUGCUAAUAGCAACACAUUGGCGCCACCCACAAACCCGCCAGGAAUCCAGUUUUUACCAGUUCUCAGAACACUGUGAGCCAGAAAGAGAAGCUACAGCAGAAGCAUCUUUCACCAGUGGAGUUGUUUGAAGCAUUUGAAGCCUUCAGUGGACCUGAGCUCAGCGUAAAAAAGGCUGGAGCUGAGCUGAGGUGAAGGUGGCCUGCCAUCACCCAGAUGUGUGACAGCUGGCUGGCUCUCUGUCCUGAACGCCAGGUGUGUCUGGAGUUCUAGAGGCUGGUUGGUAAGAGCCUGAGACAGGAGUUCCACAAGGUCCGUGACCAUUGCAGUCCCAGGCUCAUGGAAAUCUUCAAGGCAAAAAGAGUCCUCACACGGCAGGACCUGAUGCCACAAAGGACAUUGAUGAAGAGGAAGAUUGGUGCGGUGGGGAUCCUCUGCAAUGAACGGGAGAACAUCACUCCACACUCAGUCCCUGCACCACUACGCUUCCUCAUGGGAAUCAUCGUGGAGAGAAACAUUGUGAUGGACACCGACAGCCUGCCUCAGGCUAAGAACAUUGUCUUUGGACUUGCCUACGCACUCCAUCUCAACUAAGCAAAGUGCAUGAAGAACACCUUUGAUUUUGUUCAACAGGUACUUCUGUAAGAACGAUCUGAAACCUGAACUCCAGACACUCAAGAAUCAGCCUGCAAUGUAAGAUGCGGAAUCUCCUCCUGUCCUUGGAGGUUUUUUGUUUUUUUGUUUACUAUCAGUCCAUGGUUUUGAUGUUUUUGUU
Salarias fasciatus (jewelled blenny) is the source of this 972-nucleotide long non-coding RNA. RefSeq lists it as uncharacterized. The record is from RefSeq and is a predicted model, not a curated record. The transcript has 4 exons. Lineage: Eukaryota; Metazoa; Chordata; Actinopteri; Blenniiformes; Blenniidae.